UAUUUUUUUCGCAUUGUUCUUCCAUCACGAUAUAAUGAAGUAUACAUACGGGGUUAACGACGAAAGUAUCGUAUAAAGUGUUGCGCGAUCGUGUGUUCGUGACUGUGUUGUGCGUGUGUGCAUAAGGAUGGAAUCUGGAGGAGGCCUGGGAGGCAUUAGGCGACGGUGGAGCAACCAUGAGGUCAACAUAAACGCAACUCCACCGCUGCGUAUUAUUUUUUUCGAUCUUCGUGGGAGGCUGCGCAGCGCGUAAAGAUAAACAUCCAUACGCAAGAAUAACAUCUUCUAGAUCCCUCUAAUCACAACACUCAGAGGAUACUCCGUACAUAAACGAGGAACAUGGGUAAGAAAACACUUUUGAUAGAGCCAUCGGAAAAAUGAGAGAGCGGCCUGGCAAUUCAUCAAGGAAGAUCAUUAUUCGUGAUAACAGAGAAAACUGGAUCGCACAUAUAACAAGGGUAAACGCAACACGCUGGGAAAUGUGUAUAAAAAAAAAGGGAAAGAAAGGAGCUAACAACCUUGAUCAGCUCUCACGUGCAGCAAAAUUUACAUGGACGUGGAGAGAGAUGGAGGGUCCCGGAGGUUCAAUUACGAGAUUGCCAAUAUGCAAGCGACAUGGCGGUGGCGGCCAUCGCUUUGGCUGAUGAGGCUAAUGGAUGGUUGAAACCUGAGAAGAACGGCAAAGAGGAAAAAGAGGCCAAGGGAGAGGCCCCUGACAGCCACUAAGUGCGCUCCGUCCUUCUCCACCCUUCCCCAAUUCCCCCUUCCUUUCUCAUCCUUUCGGUCCCAGCCCUGUUCUCUCUCGCCUCUGCAACACUCUGCCCGCUGCGGAUGCCCUUAUGUGAAACCUAAUCACUUUUAGCGCGCGUCACGGAUAUUUCGUAUUAUGUCUACAUUGCGUUCUCCGGUAUCGGCUGACUUUAUCAGCCGUCUCUCUACAGUUCAACCUUUUCCUCAUCUCCCUUCAUCCCCUUCGUUCAUAGAAUCAAGUCGCGCAAACCUUAAUCGGUUGAUGCGUUUCUCAAGGAUAGAUCAUGGAGCCAAUUUUUGAAAAAAAAACGUUAAAAAAAUCU
Long non-coding RNA from Trachymyrmex septentrionalis, 1073 nucleotides. RefSeq lists it as uncharacterized. NCBI's taxonomy places the organism in Eukaryota, Metazoa, Arthropoda, Insecta, Hymenoptera, Formicidae. The record is from RefSeq and is a predicted model, not a curated record. The transcript has 4 exons.